AACGCGAAGAACCUUACCCAGACUUGACAUGCACAGGACAGGUGUGGAAACACACCCUUCCUUCGGGACCUGUGCACAGGUGCUGCAUGGCUGUCGUCAGCUCGUGUCGUGAGAUGUUGGGUUAAGUCCCGCAACGAGCGCAACCCUCAUCUUCAGUUGCCAUCAGGUUAUGCUGGGCACUCUGAAGGAACUGCCGGUGACAAGCCGGAGGAAGGCGGGGAUGACGUCAAGUCCUCACGGCCUUUAUGGGCUGGGCUACACACGUGCUACAAUGGCGGUGACAGAGGGACGCGAAGGGGCAACCCUUGGCCAAUCUCAAAAAGCCGUCUCAGUUCGGAUUGUUCUCUGCAACUCGAGAGCAUGAAGCUGGAAUCGCUAGUAAUCGCGGAUCAGCACGCCGCGGCGAAUACGUUCCCGGGUCUGUACACACCG
Molecule: ribosomal RNA, 432 nt
Filed under: uncultured bacterium
Lineage: Bacteria
Description: bacterial SSU rRNA
Rfam family: Bacterial small subunit ribosomal RNA
Source: RNAcentral